AAAAAAACGAAAUGUAUGCGUUGGCGCAAGAAUCAGGCCUUUGUCAUACUGGGCGGCGAGACCGAGGCUUUCGCGAGAGGUGGGAUGGGGGAAGGCGAUCAUUCACACAGACUCGAGCCAGUCAAAAUUGUGAAGGUCGCGGGGCCGUGCGGGACGCCCACAGUCGUUGGGGCGGUUGGCAUAGAUAAAGCGCCGGAUGCCAGGGUACGACGCGUUGGCCGCACGCUCUGUGCAGCCUUCAGUGCGAUGCACAUGGAGCCACUCGACAAUAUGGCCAAAAGCAUAGGCAGCGGCGUCGUCCAUGGCGUCGGUCGUGCAGCCCUCGGUGCGGUUCUCGUGCAGCCACUGGACGACUUCCAGAUGGCCCUGCGCGGCGGCGCCAUCCAUCGCAGCGGUCGUGCACCCCUCGGUGCGAUUUUCGUGGAGCCAGCGCACAACCUCUAAAUGGCCCUGUGCGGCGGCGCCAUCCAUGGCGGCGGUCGUGCAACCCUCGGUGCGAUUUUCAUGGAGCCACUGCACAACCGCUAGAUGACCCCUCGCGGCGGCCUUGUCCAUGGCGUCUGUUGUGCAGCCCUCGGUCCGGUUCGCGUGGAGCCAUUGCACAACCUCCAGGUGACCUCGGCCGGCAGCCUUGUCCAUGGCGGCGGUAGUAAACAACGAUGCGUCGAUGGCAUUGUGCAUGCAUUGGAUCACGCAGAGGUGGCCGCCGCGGGCCGCGUGAUUCACCACGGCGGCUUCGUAGGGCACGCCCGCAGUGUCGUGCAGCCACAUAACAAUAUGUGCGUGGCCAGAGCGAGCGGCAUUGCGCAUCGUACUCUUGCCGACGACCUCGGGCUUGUGUCGGUGGAGCCACUUGAGGACAUCGUCUGCACCCAUGCGCGCCAGGGUGUCGCCAAUUGUUGUCAUGCAGCCCUCGACGCCAGACUCAUGCAGCCAUUGCAUGGCGCACAUGUUGGCCUUGGACACGGCGCCCGACCACAGCACGAUGCCCAACUGCUCGCUGCGAAAGAUCGACCGGUCAUGGCGCCACGCCCAGUCGAGCACGUCCGUGGCCCCCUCUGCGCACGCUGACAACAAUAAAUUGUUUAGGGUGCGUGAUCUGAUGUCCAGGCCGAGUCCCUGGGCGCAGACGAAUGCACUCACGGCCUGGUGGCCGUUGAUGUGCGCGAGCAGGGCGGCGCUCUUACGGCAGCCCUCGGUGCGGUUGGCGUACAACCACUGGACCACGUCCAGGUGGCCGUGGGCGGCGGCCAGUGUCAUUGCCGCCUUGGUGCAGCCCUCGGUGCGAUUGGCGUGCAGGUAGAUGACCACGUCCAGGUGACCGGCAGCCGCGGCGUCGUCCAUGGCCGCCACCGUGCACCCCUCGGUGCGAUGUUUGUCGAGAAAGCGCACGGCCCCUAGGUGGCCCGCGGCAGCCGCUGCAUCCAUGGCCUUGGGUGUCGCCGUGUAAAUGUGCCACACACUGGACCUACUGAGCCACGCCAACACGUCGACGUGACCACCACGGGCGGCGCCGUCAAUGGCCGCAGGUCCAGGGAUGAGCGGCGCGCCGUUGGCCUCUAGCCAGAGCAUCAUAUCAAGGCGCCCUGCCAUUGCGGCGACAGCAAUCAGAUCGCCAUACUGUUCGGUCGGUGCGCCGGGCACUUGCGCCGCAGGGACACGGCCUAUGCGGCGCAUGCGACGGCGUGGCGGCACCUUGAGCGAGACGCCAUUGUCGACCAAAAAGCGCAGCACGCCAAGGUGGCCGUGUUCGACGGCAGUCCAUAUACAAUCGGAACCCAUGGGCACACGGCGCUCGGCCAGCACUUUCAGGGCCUCGACCAGGCCCACAGCGCAAAAGGCCUCGGGCGUCUUGCAGCCGCGCCACGGUGCCAGCCUCUUGGCCACGCCGGUCGGGCUGUCGACGUGGAAGCAUCGGUGGGCGGCCCUCGCACGACAAAAAUCGCGAUCACCCAGAUGGGCCAAGACGAGCGCCGCCAGUUCGGCCGGCAGCGUAUCCAUCCGCGAUGAUUGGUCCUUUCUCAAUGUUCUUUUUUUUCUUUUUCUUUUUACGACCCGACGCACGAUUGUUCCUGCCGCGCUCGCCGCACGCCAUCCUCGCGGCCGCCCAGCAGGUGGCCGGCGCGCGGUACCCAUGGAUGCUUGCUGUGGCGUGGGAUCGCGUUUUUUUGUGAUGGGCGCCUAUGCCCGUGCACGCGCCUCUGGUCUGGUCCGUCUGUUUCCUGUCUGCGCGUUUUUUUGCGCUUUUCCUUGUUGAAACAAAAAAAAAGACUUUUUUUCCU
Molecule: long non-coding RNA, 2282 nt
Filed under: Pandoravirus quercus
Description: hypothetical ncRNA
Source: RNAcentral